RNAcentral lists this unclassified non-coding RNA (315 nucleotides) under uncultured fungus. Its description in RNAcentral is "partial contains 5.8S ribosomal RNA and internal transcribed spacer 2". The stretch from base 1 to 133 matches the Rfam family "5.8S ribosomal RNA", at positions 22 to 154 of the family's 154-position model. The record is from RNAcentral. Lineage: Eukaryota; Fungi.
UGGUUCUCGCAUCGAUGAAGAACGCAGCGAAAUGCGAUAAGUAAUGUGAAUUGCAGAAUUCAGUGAAUCAUCGAAUCUUUGAACGCACAUUGCGCUCUCUGGUAUUCCGGAGAGCACGUCUGUCUGAACGUCAUGAAAACCCUCGAGUUUGUCUCGGUGAUGGGCAUCGCCACUAAGCGGUGCCUGCAAUCCAGUGGCGGAGGCUGUCAUAUGCCCGACAUAGUGAACGCUACCUGUCGGUUUUGUGUAUGAUGGGCAACCUGCCUCAAGAAACCCUUUAGACUUGACUUCAGGUCAGACGAGAUUACCCGCUGA